This 579-nucleotide long non-coding RNA is filed under the name Ananas comosus (pineapple). Its description in RNAcentral is "long non-coding RNA (ACOM_LNC033704)". Lineage: Eukaryota; Viridiplantae; Streptophyta; Magnoliopsida; Poales; Bromeliaceae. The record is from RNAcentral.
CUCUAUAAAUAAGAACGCACUGUUAGAGGACGGUGCUUAAACAUUUUUAUAUUUAACACUCCCCUCACGUCUGGGCUCAAAACUUUCUAAUCGGCCCAUGACGUAGGCUUGAAUUAAAUGGGAAGAAAUUAAUAUGCUAGGAGCCUGGCGUGACUCAAACUCAGGACCUCCUGCACUGAUACCAUAUGAAACAGCCGUUGUACUCUAAAAGUUUAAACUGUUAGAGAACGGUACUUAAACAUUUUUAUAUUUAACAUAAGCUCCCUUUUUUUUUUCUUUUUCUUUUUCUCCUUUUCUUUUAGUCCUUUUCCUCGAUUACACUCGCGAACACUUGUGGACUAAAUAAGAUCGCCUUUCCCAAGAGUACCUAGCACAGCUGGUUAAGGAUAUACGAGUGAUGAUCAUUACCCGAGGUUUCAAGUUUAAGACCUAAUUAUUUUAUCAUUCUACCUGAAUUCAUUUCCAAACGAUAAACAAAGCAGAUAAUUUUACUGAAUUUAAUUUUUUUGAUAGAUUUUUCUAUUUUUUUAUGAAAAAUUAAUAUUUUUGUUAGGUACAGAUCAGAUUCAUUUAAAUGGU